CAAGACGUAACUUAAUAAAGUAUUUCGCUUACACCGAAAAAAUAUCCGUGAGACCCGGGUCAUUUGA
Molecule: transfer RNA, 67 nt
Filed under: Dendropsophus microps (Nova Friburgo treefrog)
Lineage: Eukaryota; Metazoa; Chordata; Amphibia; Anura; Hylidae
Description: tRNA-Val
Rfam family: tRNA
About the family: Transfer RNA (tRNA) molecules are approximately 80 nucleotides in length. Their secondary structure includes four short double-helical elements and three loops (D, anti-codon, and T loops).
Source: RNAcentral